Dermochelys coriacea (leatherback sea turtle) is the source of this 165-nucleotide long non-coding RNA. RefSeq lists it as uncharacterized. The transcript has 3 exons. The record is from RefSeq and is a predicted model, not a curated record. NCBI's taxonomy places the organism in Eukaryota, Metazoa, Chordata, Testudines, Dermochelyidae.
AAACACCCCAGGGGCCUGCCCCCUCUGUGCCAGGUGCACCAGGUGUGGGUGAGCAGGCUCAGACCAGCAGGAUCCAAGUGUGGAAGGGCUUAGUGUGAUGGGAUCCAGGUGUGGGGUCAGAGGUUUCUGUGUGGAGCAAUCAGGGUGCAGGGGACUCAGUGGGAG